Non-coding RNA from Massospora cicadina, 67 nucleotides. The record is from the annotation of a GenBank genome assembly. Lineage: Eukaryota; Fungi; Entomophthoromycota; Entomophthoromycetes; Entomophthorales; Entomophthoraceae.
UGUGGUCCAAUGGCUAGGAUACCACGCUCUCACUAUGGUGGCCAGAGUUUGAUUCCCUGCAGGGGAA